CUCGUACUCCAUCCGUUCUGAAUUACUUGUCUUAGAUUUGUCUAGAUACGGAUGUAUCUAGCACUAAAAUGAAUUUAGAUACGGAUGUAUCUAGAUAAAUCCAAGACAAGUAAUUCGGAACGGAGGGACUGGUUA
Molecule: non-coding RNA, 135 nt
Organism: Triticum aestivum (bread wheat)
Lineage: Eukaryota; Viridiplantae; Streptophyta; Magnoliopsida; Poales; Poaceae
Source: Rfam